Molecule: ribosomal RNA, 462 nt
Filed under: uncultured bacterium
Lineage: Bacteria
Description: partial 16S ribosomal RNA
Rfam family: Bacterial small subunit ribosomal RNA
Source: RNAcentral
GACGAACGCUGGCGGCGUGCUUAACACAUGCAAGUCGAGCGGUAAGGCCUUUCUGGGUACACGAGCUGCGAACGGUUGAGUAACAAGUGGGUGAUCUGCCCUUCACUUCUGUAUAAGCCUGGUAAACUUGGUCUAAUACCGGUUAUUACCUUCUCUCGCAUGGUUGGUGGUUGAUAGAUUUAUCGGUGCAGGAUGGGCCCGCGGCCUGUCAUCUUGUUGGUGGGUUUAUGGCAUACCAAGGCGUCGUCGGGUAGCCGACCUGCGAAGGGGACCGGCCACACGGGGAAGGAGACAAGGCGCAGACGCAGACGGGAGGAAGGAGUGGGGAAUAGUGCACAAAGGGAGAAAGGCUGAGGCAGGGACGCCGGGUGAGGGAUGACGGCCUCCGGGUGGUAAACAGGUAGCAGCAGGGACGAAGGGGAAGUGACGGUACCGGCAGAAGAAGCACCGGCUAACUACGUG